GUAAUCCACUGGGGUACGCUUCCGCGCUGUGGAGAGUAUGUUCUUUUGCUCUUCACAGUAAAUCUUGCUAAUGCUCACUUUUUGGGUCCACACUACUUUUAUGAACUGUAACACUCACUGCGAAGGUCUUUAGCUUAACUCCUGAAGCCAGCAAGACCACGAAUCCUCUGGGAGGCAUGAACAACUCCUGACCCGCCACCUUAAAGAGCUGUAACACUCACUGUGAAGGUCUGCGGCUUCACUCCUGAAGUCAGCGAGACCACGAACGCACCAGAAGGAAGAAACUCCCCACACAUGUGAACAUCUGAAGGAACAAACUCCCGACACUCCAUCUUCAAGAACUGUAACACUCACCGUGAGGGUCUGCAGCUUCAUUCUUGAAGUCAGCAAGACCAAGAACCCACCAGAAGAAACCAAUUCCGGCCACAGUGUCUCCUUGGCUUACUGUGGAAAAACUCAAGGGGAGAUUAUUCUCUGAAAAAUCUUACCAGGUUGUCUGCAUACCUCAUUCUUCCUGGAUACGGGACAAGAACUCAGUACCCACUAAAUGGCAAGACUAAAACAGCUGUAACACAAACAGUACUGAAACACACCCACCCGUUUGCCAUUUUGUGGGUGACGAAAAGGAGAGAAGUCCUGCAGCCUAUGUCUGGGAACCCAGACCUCAGGGCUCUUUAAGCCAGGACUGUGACAUGCUGUAACAACCUCUUUGAGGCUCUGCAGUUUCUGGGAUCUCCAAGAUUUCGGGCGCCACUGCAUUCCCCUUGUCCAGAUGUUGGUGCCCACAGCAGAAGUCACCUGCAGUACAUCUGGUACAGCUGCAGCCUUGCAUGGAGUUGGCACCUGUGCCAGCACCUGGAGCUGCCUGUCCAUCACAGCUGGCAUGCCUGGCUGUGCACAGUGGCCAGGCCCCACGCUUACCUGCUCACACACCCCUCACUGCUUCAUGCCUAGCUCACACUUGGCAGGUGUGGGAUCCAGGCUGGUAGCAGGAGCUGAGUGCAUCAUGCUAGGCUGAUUGGACAGAACAAGCCCAGUAGGCCUGAGCAAAACUUGGGCAAAGACGCCACCGGCCAUAGAGGUUUCUGGCUGGAAACCAGUGAC
This 1104-nucleotide long non-coding RNA is filed under the name Homo sapiens (human). Its description in RNAcentral is "HSALNT0209013". The record is from RNAcentral. Lineage: Eukaryota; Metazoa; Chordata; Mammalia; Primates; Hominidae.